This is a long non-coding RNA of Asparagus officinalis (garden asparagus), 239 nucleotides long. RefSeq lists it as uncharacterized. Lineage: Eukaryota; Viridiplantae; Streptophyta; Magnoliopsida; Asparagales; Asparagaceae. The record is from RefSeq and is a predicted model, not a curated record. The transcript has 3 exons.
GUCAGAAUGCAAGAUUAAGAUCAAACAACAAUUACAACAAGGAAAACAAGGGAAGAUGACUGCUGAAAGACAACGUAAAGGUGAAUACAGCUUCAUUAAGGAUUUGAAGUUAUAUCAAGAAUCUUUCUCAAUCAAAGUGCUUAUACUAAAAGUGUCCUUGGAGCAAUUCUCAUCGUCAAAAGGUUCAGGUCAGGUUCAAAAGAUUAUUGUGAUUGACGAAGAGGGAACAAAGAUUCAAG